Non-coding RNA from Lasiosphaeria miniovina, 90 nucleotides. The record is from the annotation of a RefSeq genome assembly. Lineage: Eukaryota; Fungi; Ascomycota; Sordariomycetes; Sordariales; Lasiosphaeriaceae.
GCGUCAGUGGUUUAGUGGUAAAAUCCAUCGUUGCCAUUCCUUCCGAGCAGUGAAGUCGAUGGGCCCCGCGUUCGAUUCGCGGCUGACGCA